AACAUCGCGCACCUGCGGGAACCUGCGGAGGGAUCAUUACAGAGUUGCAAAACUCCCUAAACCAUUGUGAACGUUACCUAAACCGUUGCUUCGGCGGGCGGCCCGGGUCCUUCCCGGCGCCCCUCGGCCCUCGCGGGCGCCCGCCGGAGGUAAACCAAACUAUUGCAUUGUAUGGCCUCCCUGAGUCUUCUGUACUGAAUAAGUCAAAACUUUUAACAAUGGAUCUCAGAUCGGAAGAGC
This 240-nucleotide unclassified non-coding RNA is filed under the name soil metagenome. Its description in RNAcentral is "partial contains 5.8S ribosomal RNA, internal transcribed spacer 2, and large subunit ribosomal RNA". The record is from RNAcentral.